UACGGAGGGUGCAAGCGUUAUCCGGAUUCACUGGGUUUAAAGGGUGCGUAGGAGGGUAGGUAAGUCAGUGGUGAAAUCUUCGAGCUUAACUCGGAAACUGCCGUUGAUACUAUCUAUCUUGAAUACCGUGGAGGUGAGCGGAAUAUGUCAUGUAGCGGUGAAAUGCUUAGAUAUGACAUAGAACACCAAUUGCGAAGGCAGCUCGCUACACGAAUAUUGACUCUGAGGCACGAAAGCGUGGGGAUCAUACAGG
Molecule: ribosomal RNA, 253 nt
Filed under: uncultured bacterium
Lineage: Bacteria
Description: partial 16S ribosomal RNA
Rfam family: Bacterial small subunit ribosomal RNA
Source: RNAcentral